ACUCAAAGGAAUUGACGGGCACCCGCACAAGCGGUGGAGCAUGCUGUUUAAUUCGAAGAUACGCGAAGAACCUUACCUAGACUUGACAUCCCUGGCAAUGCUAUAGAAAUAUAGCGGAGGCUAUCCAGGUGACAGGUGGUGCAUGGUUGUCGUCAGCUCGUGUCGUGAGAUGUUCGGUUAAGUCCGAUAACGAGCGCAACCCUUAUCAUUAGUUGCUAACAUUUAGUUGAGAACCCUAAUGAGACUGCCGUUGAUAAAACGGAGGAAGGUGGGGAUGACGUCAAAUCAUCAUGCCCCUUACGUCUAGGGCUACAGGCGUGCUACAAUGGCCAAUAUAAUGAGUUCCGAUACCGUAAGGUGGAGGCAAUCUCCAAAGUUGGUCCCAGUUCGGAUUGUGGUCUGCAACUCGACCACAUGAAGUUGGAAUCGCUAGUAAUCCCGAAUCAGAAUGUCGGGGUGAAUACGUUCCCGGGUGUUGUACACACCGCCCGU
This 492-nucleotide ribosomal RNA is filed under the name uncultured bacterium. Its description in RNAcentral is "bacterial SSU rRNA". It matches the Rfam family "Bacterial small subunit ribosomal RNA", at positions 899 to 1397 of the family's 1533-position model. The record is from RNAcentral.